RNAcentral lists this unclassified non-coding RNA (237 nucleotides) under plant metagenome. RNAcentral's name for it is "partial contains small subunit ribosomal RNA, internal transcribed spacer 1, and 5.8S ribosomal RNA". The record is from RNAcentral.
UUUCCGUAGGUGAGCCUGCGGAAGGAUCAUUAAUGAGAACUAAGGGUAGUAGUCUCGGCUAUUACUCUGAACACUCCACCCUUUGUUUAUAUUACCUUUGUUGCUUUAGCAGGCCCGCUCUCGAGCCGCCGGCACCUGCUGGCUAGUGCCUGCUAAAGAACCUAAAACUCUUGUUAAUAAUAUUGUCUGAGUACUAUAUAAUAGUUAAAACUUUCAACAACGGAUCUCUUGGUUCUG